This 718-nucleotide ribosomal RNA is filed under the name Basidiomycota sp. CAU2. Its description in RNAcentral is "eukaryotic LSU rRNA". It matches the Rfam family "Eukaryotic large subunit ribosomal RNA", at positions 133 to 840 of the family's 3401-position model. Lineage: Eukaryota; Fungi; Basidiomycota. The record is from RNAcentral.
GGCGUCCGAGUUGUAAUCUAGAGAAGUGUUUUCCGUGUCGGACCGUGCACAAGUUCCUGGAACGGGGCGUCAUAGAGGGUGAGAAUCCCGUACGUGGCACGGACUCCCGGUGCUCUGCGAUACACUCUCAACGAGUCGAGUUGUUUGGGAAUGCAGCUCAAAAUGGGUGGUAAAUUCCAUCUAAAGCUAAAUAUUGGCGAGAGACCGAUAGCGAACAAGUACCGUGAGGGAAAGAUGAAAAGCACUUUGGAAAGAGAGUGAAACAGUACGUGAAAUUGUUGAAAGGGAAGCGUUUGAAGUCAGUCGCGUCUGUCGGGGUUCAGCCUGGCUUCUGCCUGGUGUAUUCCCUGUCCGACGGGUCAGCAUCAGUUUCUGCCGAGAGAGAAAGGCUUGGGGAAUGUGGCCAUCUUCGGGUGGUGUUAUAGCCCUUUGUCAUAUGUCUCGGUGGGGACUGAGGACUGCAGCGCGCCUUACGGCCGGGGUUCGCCCUCGGUACGCGCUUAGGAUGCUGGCAUAAUGGCUUUAAGCGACCCGUCUUGAAACACGGACCAAGGAGUCUAACAUGUGCGCGAGUGUUUGGGUGUCAAACCCGAGCGCGUAAUGAAAGUGAAAGGUCGGGAUCACGUACGUGUGCACCGACGCCCGGAGCAGACCUACUGUGACGCAUCUGCGGUGGAGCGUAUAUGUUGGGACCCGAAAGAUGGUGAACUAUGCCUGA